GAGUAGCAACGGUUUUGUAAGUUCCCUAGCAACCUCAUUGAUUAGUUUUGCUGUAUGUUGCUCGGUACAUGACAAUUGAGUAUAUAUUGCCACUUGUCAGACAUCAUUGUCUACGCAGAACACAGAAUCAAACGAGUGCUUCAUUCUUCGUUUCGCUCGCAUUCUACCAGUGUUUCAUGCAUCCUCCUUAUACUUCAUUUUGUGUGGGCAU
This 211-nucleotide long non-coding RNA is filed under the name Panicum hallii. RNAcentral describes it as "long non-coding RNA (PHAL_LNC000080)". Lineage: Eukaryota; Viridiplantae; Streptophyta; Magnoliopsida; Poales; Poaceae. The record is from RNAcentral.